Molecule: ribosomal RNA, 494 nt
Filed under: uncultured bacterium
Lineage: Bacteria
Description: partial 16S ribosomal RNA
Rfam family: Bacterial small subunit ribosomal RNA
Source: RNAcentral
GACGAACGCUGGCGGCGUGCUUAACACAUGCAAGUCGAACGGUGAAGCGCCUUCCUUUUUGGUGGGUGUGGAUGAGUGGCGAACGGGUGAGUAACACGUGAGUAACCUGCCCCCUUCUUCUGGAUAACCGCAUGAAAGUGUGGCUAAUACGGGAUAUUCUGGGUCUGUCGCAUGAUGGGUCUGGGAAAGAUAUUGUUUCGGUGGGGGAUGGGCUCGCGGCCUAUCAGCUUGUUGGUGUGGUGAUGGCCUACCAAGGCGGUGACGGGUAGCCGGCCUGGGAGGGUGGACGGUCACACUGGGACUGAGACACGGCGCAGACUCCUACGGGAGGCAGCAGUGGGGAAUAGUGCACAAUGGGCGCAAGCCUGAUGCAGCGACGCCGCGUGAGGGAUGGAGGCCUUCGGGUUGUGAACCUCUUUCGCCAGUGAAGCAGGCCUGCCUCGUUUGUGGGUGGGUUGACGGUAGCUGGAUAAGAAGCGCCGGCUAACUACGUG